This 73-nucleotide transfer RNA is filed under the name Camelus ferus (Wild Bactrian camel). It matches the Rfam family "tRNA". From Rfam's summary of the family: Transfer RNA (tRNA) molecules are approximately 80 nucleotides in length. Their secondary structure includes four short double-helical elements and three loops (D, anti-codon, and T loops). Lineage: Eukaryota; Metazoa; Chordata; Mammalia; Artiodactyla; Camelidae. The record is from Rfam by way of RNAcentral.
AGGGGUAUAGCUCAGUGUAGAGCACAUGCUUAUAGCAUGCACAGUGUCCAGGGUUCAAUCCCCAGUGUCUCCA